UUCGCCAUUUAAAGUGGUACGCGAGCUGGGUUUAGAACGUCGUGAGACAGUUCGGUCCCUAUCUGCCGUGGACGUUUGAGAUUUGAGAGGGGCUGCUCCUAGUACGAGAGGACCGGAGUGGACGAACCUCUGGUGUUCCGGUUGUCACGCCAGUGGCAUUGCCGGGUAGCUAUGUUCGGAAGAGAUAACCGCUGAAAGCAUCUAAGCGGGAAACUUGCCUCAAGAUGAGAUCUCACUGGGAUCUUGAAUCCCCUAAAGGGCCGUCGAAGACUACGACGUUGAUAGGUCGGGUGUGUAAGCGCUGUGAGGCGUUGAGCUAACCGAUACUAAUUGCCCGUGAGGCUUGACCAUAUAACACCCAAGCAAUU
RNAcentral lists this ribosomal RNA (368 nucleotides) under Pseudomonas sp. CK-NBRI-02. RNAcentral describes it as "partial 23S ribosomal RNA". It matches the Rfam family "Bacterial large subunit ribosomal RNA", at positions 2580 to 2925 of the family's 2925-position model. The record is from RNAcentral. Lineage: Bacteria; Pseudomonadati; Pseudomonadota; Gammaproteobacteria; Pseudomonadales; Pseudomonadaceae.